GCUCCGGUGGUGUAGAGGUUCUACUGCACAAUCCGGUCAAGCAUAGCGGCCUUUCGAGUCGCUGAUCCCGGGUUCAAAUCCCGGCCGGAGCA
Molecule: transfer RNA, 92 nt
Filed under: Nitrososphaerales archaeon
Lineage: Archaea; Thermoproteati; Nitrososphaerota; Nitrososphaeria; Nitrososphaerales
Description: tRNA-Glu
Rfam family: tRNA
About the family: Transfer RNA (tRNA) molecules are approximately 80 nucleotides in length.
Source: RNAcentral